RNAcentral lists this ribosomal RNA (571 nucleotides) under uncultured Glomeromycotina. Its description in RNAcentral is "SSU rRNA". It matches the Rfam family "Eukaryotic small subunit ribosomal RNA", at positions 548 to 1114 of the family's 1831-position model. The record is from RNAcentral. Lineage: Eukaryota; Fungi; Glomeromycota.
UUGGAGGGCAAGUCUGGUGCCAGCAGCCGCGGUAAUUCCAGCUCCAAUAGCGUAUAUUAAAGUUGUUGCAGUUAAAAAGCUCGUAGUUGAAUUUCAGGAUUGACGUGAUGGUCGUGCCUUACGGGGUAUGAACUGUUGCUGUUGAUUUCUCACCUUCUGGAGAAACUUGAUGUCCUUAAUUGGGUGUCUUGCGGAUCCAGGACCUUUACCUUGAAAAAAUUAGAGUGUUUAAAGCAGGCAUUUUUGCUCGAAUACAUUAGCAUGGAAUAAUAGAAUAGGACGGCGUGGUUCUAUUUUGUUGGUUUCUAGGAUCACCGUAAUGAUUAAUAGGGAUAGUUGGGGCAUUAGUAUUCAAUUGUCAGAGGUGAAAUUCUUGGAUUUAUUGAAGACUAACUACUGCGAAAGCAUUUGCCAAGGAUGUUUUCAUUAAUCAAGAACGAAAGUUAGGGGAUCGAAGACGAUCAGAUACCGUCGUAGUCUUAACCAUAAACUAUGCCGACUAGGAAUCAGACGAUGUUAAUUUUUUAAUGACUCGUUUGGCACCUUACGGGAAACCAAAGUGUUUGGGUUC